UAAAGGCUUUUUGGCCUCAAAGCUCAGAUCUUUAUUUUGGCUCAAAUCUCAAGUGAUGUGAACUGUUUGUUAUUCCAUUUAAAAAAACAACUUUUUAUCAAUUUCUUACAACUUUUGUCUUAUAUGGCCAAUAAAGUUACUGACUCUGGGUCAGUCCUAUUGGUAUGAAUGAAGUGGUGGCAGUGGUUCCAUGUUCUACAUGACUGAGGUGUUAAUGGAGGCUGAGGUUCAUGUUCUAGAUGACUGAGGUGUUAAUGGAGGCUGAGGUUCAUGUUCUGGAUGACAGGUGUUAAUGUAGACUGAGGUUCAUGUUCUGGAUGACAGGUGUUAAUGGAGGCUGAGGUUCAUGUUCUGGAUGACAGGUGUUAAUGUAGGCUGAGGUUCAUGUUCUAGAUGACAGGUGUUAAUGUAGGCUGAGGUUCAUGUUCUGGAUGACAGGUGUUAAUGGAGGCUGAGGUUCAUGUUCUGGAUGACUGAGGUGUUAAUGUAGACUGAGGUUCAUGUUCUACAUGACUGAGGUGUUAAUGUAGGCUGAGGUUCAUGUUCUGGAUGACUGAGGUGUUAAUGUAGGCUGAGGUUCAUGUUCUAGAUGACUGAGGUGUUAAUGUAGGCUGAGGUUCAUGUUCUAGAUGACUGAGGUGUUAAUGUGGGCUGUGGUUCAUGUUCUGGAUGACAGAUGUUAAUGUAGGCUGAGGUUCAUGUUCUAGAUGACUGAGGUGUUAAUGUAGGCUGAGGUUCAUGUUCUAGAUGACUGAGGUGUUAAUGUAGGCUGAGGUUCAUGUUCUAGAUGACUGAGGUGUUAAUGUAGGCUGAGGUUCAUGUUCUAGAUGACUGAGGUGUUAAUGUAGGCUGAGGUUCAUGUUCUAGAUGACUGAGGUGUUAAUGUAGGCUGAGGUUCAUGUUCUAGAUGACUGAGGUGUUAAUGUAGACUGAGGUUCAUGUUCUAGAUGACUGAGGUGUUA
This is a long non-coding RNA of Oncorhynchus keta (chum salmon), 962 nucleotides long. RefSeq lists it as uncharacterized. The transcript has 4 exons. The record is from RefSeq and is a predicted model, not a curated record. Lineage: Eukaryota; Metazoa; Chordata; Actinopteri; Salmoniformes; Salmonidae.